RNAcentral lists this ribosomal RNA (424 nucleotides) under uncultured Methylobacter sp. RNAcentral describes it as "bacterial SSU rRNA". It matches the Rfam family "Bacterial small subunit ribosomal RNA", at positions 356 to 773 of the family's 1533-position model. The record is from RNAcentral. Lineage: Bacteria; Pseudomonadati; Pseudomonadota; Gammaproteobacteria; Methylococcales; Methylococcaceae.
GGGGAAUAUUGGACAAUGGGCGAAAGCCUGAUCCAGCAAUACCGCGUGUGUGAAGAAGGCCUGAGGGUUGUAAAGCACUUUCAAUAGGGAGGAAAACCUGUCGGUCAAUACCCGGCAGCUUGACAUUACCUAUACAAGAAGCACCGGCUAACUCCGUGCCAGCAGCCGCGGUAAUACGGAGGGUGCAAGCGUUAAUCGGAAUUACUGGGCGUAAAGCGUGCGUAGGCGGUUAUUUAAGUCAGAUGUGAAAGCCCCGGGCUUAACCUGGGAACUGCAUUUGAUACUGGGUAACUAGAGUUUAGUAGAGGAGAGUGGAAUUUCAGGUGUAGCGGUGAAAUGCGUAGAGAUCUGAAGGAACACCAGUGGCGAAGGCGACUCUCUGGACUAAAACUGACGCUGAGGUACGAAAGCGUGGGUAGCAAAC